This 1447-nucleotide ribosomal RNA is filed under the name metagenome. Its description in RNAcentral is "bacterial LSU rRNA". It matches the Rfam family "Bacterial large subunit ribosomal RNA", at positions 1464 to 2925 of the family's 2925-position model. The record is from RNAcentral.
UUGGAGUGACACAGUAGGAUAAGCUAACCGUACUGUUGGUUAUGUACGGCUAAGCAUUGAGGCAGUCUAAAUAGGCAAAUCCGUUUAGACAAUGCUAGGAUGUGAUGGGGAAGCCCUCCGGGGCGAAGUAGCUGAUUUCACACUGUCAAGAAAAGCUUCUAUCGAGUUUAAAGGCGCCCGUACCGUAAACCGACACAGGUGGGUGAGGAGAGUAUCCUAAGGCCAGCGAGAGAACUAUUGUUAAGGAACUCGGCAAAAUGACCCCGUAACUUAGGGAGAAGGGGUGCCUGUCUAUGACAGGCCGCAGAGAAUAGGCCCAAGCGACUGUUUACCAAAAACACAGGUUUCUGCUAAGUCGCAAGACGAUGUAUAGGAGCUGACGCCUGCCCGGUGCUGGAAGGUUAAGGGGAUCUGUUAGAGCAAUCGAAGCAGUGAACUUAAGCCCCAGUAAACGGCGGCCGUAACGAUAACGGUCCUAAGGUAGCGAAAUUCCUUGUCGGGUAAGUUCCGACCCGCACGAAAGGCGUAACGAUUUGGGCACUGUCUCAACAAUAGACUCGGUGAAAUUGUAAUCCCGGUGAAGAUGCCGGGUACCUGCGACAGGACGGAAAGACCCCAUGGAGCUUUACUGUAGCUUGACGUUGGGUCUUGGUACUACAUGUACAGGAUAGGUGGGAGACUAUGAAGCAUGGACGCCAGUCUGUGUGGAGUCAUCCUUGGGAUACCACCCUUGUAGUACUGGGAUCCUAACCAUAGGCCUUGAAUCAGGUCUUGGAACACCGUCAGGUGGGCAGUUUGACUGGGGCGGUCGCCUCCUAAAAAAGUAACGGAGGCGCUCAAAGGUUUCCUCAGCACGGUCGGAAAUCGUGCGAAGAGUGUAAAGGCAAAAGGAAGCUUGAUUGCAAGACAUACAGGUCGAGCAAGGACGAAAGUCGGACUUAGUGAUCCGGUGGUACCGCAUGGAAGGGCCAUCGCUCAACGGAUAAAAGCUACCCUGGGGAUAACAGGCUUAUCUCCCCCAAGAGUCCACAUCGACGGGGAGGUUUGGCACCUCGAUGUCGGCUCAUCACAUCCUGGGGCUGUAGUAGGUCCCAAGGGUUGGGCUGUUCGCCCAUUAAAGUGGUACGCGAGCUGGGUUCAGAACGUCGUGAGACAGUUCGGUCCCUAUCCGUCGCAGGCGUAGGAAAUUUGAGAAGACCUGUCCUUAGUACGAGAGGACCGGGAUGGACGUACCUCUGGUGUACCAGUUGUUCUGCCAAGGGCAUGGCUGGGUAGCUAUGUACGGAAUGGAUAAGCGCUGAAAGCAUCUAAGCGCGAAGCCAACUUCAAGAUAAGAUUUCCCACCGUAAGGGUAAGACCCCAGGAAGACUACCUGGUUGAUAGGUCGAAGGUGUAAGUGCAGUAAUGUAUUUAGCUUAUCGAUACUAAUAGGUCGAGGACUUGACCU